RNAcentral lists this ribosomal RNA (497 nucleotides) under uncultured bacterium. Its description in RNAcentral is "partial 16S ribosomal RNA". It matches the Rfam family "Bacterial small subunit ribosomal RNA", at positions 28 to 507 of the family's 1533-position model. The record is from RNAcentral.
GAUGAACGCUGGCGGCGUGCCUAAUACAUGCAAGUCGAGCGAACAGACGAGGAGCUUGCUCCUUUGACGUUAGCGGCGGACGGGUGAGUAACACGUAGGUAACCUACCUAUAAGACUGGGAUAACUUCGGGAAACCGGAGCUAAGCCCGGAUAAUAUUUCGAACCGCAUGGUUCGAUAGUGAAAGAUGGCUUUGCUAUCCCUUAUAGAUGGACCUGCGCCGUAUUAGCUAGUUGGUAAGGUAACGGCUUACCAAGGCAACGAUUCGUAGCCGACCUGAGAGGGUGAUCGGCCACACUGGAACUGAGACACGGUCCAGACUCCUACGGGAGGCAGCAGUAGGGAAUCUUCCGCAAUGGGCGAAAGCCUGACGGAGCAACGCCGCGUGAGUGAUGAAGGUCUUCGGAUCGUAAAACUCUGUUAUUAGGGAAGAACAAACGUGUAAGUAACUGUGCACGUCUUGACGGUACCUAAUCAGAAAGCCACGGCUAACUACGUG